RNAcentral lists this non-coding RNA (30 nucleotides) under Rattus norvegicus (Norway rat). The record is from RNAcentral. Lineage: Eukaryota; Metazoa; Chordata; Mammalia; Rodentia; Muridae.
UUAUAGCCAUUUGCUAUUUCUGGUUGGCCC